RNAcentral lists this ribosomal RNA (914 nucleotides) under uncultured Nostoc sp. RNAcentral describes it as "bacterial SSU rRNA". It matches the Rfam family "Bacterial small subunit ribosomal RNA", at positions 61 to 1018 of the family's 1533-position model. The record is from RNAcentral. Lineage: Bacteria; Bacillati; Cyanobacteriota; Cyanophyceae; Nostocales; Nostocaceae.
GUCGAACGAAAUCUUCGGAUUUAGUGGCGGACGGGUGAGUAACGCGUGAGAAUCUGGCUUCAGGUCUGGGACAACCACUGGAAACGGUGGCUAAUACCGGAUGUGCCGAGAGGUGAAAGGUUAACUGCCUGAAGAUGAGCUCGCGUCUGAUUAGCUAGUUGGUAGAGUAAGAGCCUACCAAGGCGACGAUCAGUAGCUGGUCUGAGAGGACGAUCAGCCACACUGGGACUGAGACACGGCCCAGACUCCUACGGGAGGCAGCAGUGGGGAAUUUUCCGCAAUGGGCGAAAGCCUGACGGAGCAAUACCGCGUGAGGGAGGAAGGCUCUUGGGUCGUAAACCUCUUUUCUCAGGGAAGAACACAAUGACGGUACCUGAGGAAUAAGCAUCGGCUAACUCCGUGCCAGCAGCCGCGGUAAUACGGAGGAUGCAAGCGUUAUCCGGAAUGAUUGGGCGUAAAGCGUCCGCAGGUGGCAAUGUAAGUCUGCUGUUAAAGAGUCUAGCUCAACUAGAUAAGAGCAGUGGAAACUACAUAGCUAGAGUACGUUCGGGGCAGAGGGAAUUCCUGGUGUAGCGGUGAAAUGCGUAGAGAUCAGGAAGAACACCAGUGGCGAANGCGCUCUGCUAGGCCGUAACUGACACUGAGGGACGAAAGCUAGGGGAGCGAAUGGGAUUAGAUACCCCAGUAGUCCUAGCCGUAAACGAUGGAUACUAGGCGUGGCUUGUAUCGACCCGAGCCGUGCCGUAGCUAACGCGUUAAGUAUCCCGCCUGGGGAGUACGCCGGCAACGGUGAAACUCAAAGGAAUUGACGGGGGCCCGCACAAGCGGUGGAGUAUGUGGUUUAAUUCGAUGCAACGCGAAGAACCUUACCAAGGCUUGACAUGUCGCGAAUCCUGGUGAAAGCUGGGAGUGCC